Long non-coding RNA from Oreochromis aureus, 854 nucleotides. The record is from Ensembl. Lineage: Eukaryota; Metazoa; Chordata; Actinopteri; Cichliformes; Cichlidae.
CUCCGGUCCCGCCAGAAGACACUGACCUCCAGCUCCCGGGACUGCCAGCAGAGCGAGGACCAGCAGAGAAAACACAGACUGAAGGUUUGAGCGGGAAGUGAGCACCACCAUGACUGAAAUGAUGAAGCCAAGGGGUGUACUACGAAGUGAGACUGGUGGGUUAUUGAGCAACGUUGAGUUUAAGCUUGAGUUAAAUAUGUUUCCUUGUGUGACGUGGCAGACUGCAGAUGGGACUCACCCGCUCCAGCUGGAUGUAGAACGUCUGGUCCCAGCUCAGCCUGCUGAUGGCUGCCCAGCGCGUCCGGCCGACCACUCUGCCGUCCAGCCUGAGCACGCCACUGAUCUCUGCGAUGGGUUUCUUUCUGCAGAGUUCCUUUCCAGUGCCAGCACUGCUGCUGCUGCUGCUCUGACAGCGCCGAUUGCCUGCUCAGGCCUCGGCAUUGGCCGUUGCAUGACCACAUGUUCCUGCUCUGCCACCAACCAAAAGGCAAGCAGAGCUGCUGGUGCUCUCUUUGGGACAAAGCAGAGAAGAGCCUGCGGUGCAUAUGGGGAUAUGUUUAACCUACUCUAACAAGAAUGAGAUGAGAGACUUAAAUAACUACACUGAUAGCAGGAGGUGGGAAAUCAGUUCCUGGAUAUAAUAAUGUAGCCUGUCUGGCUGUUUUUUACUGACAGCGUGGAUGUUAACAGUCACGCAUGACAGCUCUGUGGUUGUGGUCUCCCACUUUACUGCCUGUCAAAUUGAAAACAAUUAAUGUAGCUACACAAUGACACACUUGAACAGACAAUCCAUCACACUUGCCCUAAUUAGGCUGUUACACAUUCACCAGCUUGAAAUUGUCUCAUUAAAACGG